UACGGGGGGGGCAAGCGUUGUUCGGAAUUAUUGGGCGUAAAGCGCGUGUAGGCGGCUUUGCAAGUCGGGUGUGAAAGCCCUCGGCUCAACCGAGGAAGUGCGCCCGAAACUGCAGAGCUUGAGUACCGGAGAGGAUGGCGGAAUUCCCCAAGUAGAGGUGAAAUUCGUAGAUAUGGGGAGGAACACCGGUGGCGAAGGCGGCCAUCUGGACGGAUACUGACGCUGAGACGCGAAAGCGUGGGUAGCAAACAGG
Molecule: ribosomal RNA, 253 nt
Filed under: uncultured bacterium
Lineage: Bacteria
Description: partial 16S ribosomal RNA
Rfam family: Bacterial small subunit ribosomal RNA
Source: RNAcentral